AAAUGAGGGGCGUAAGUGCUUUGCCCCGCGGCCCCUUUUCUUCUCUCCAGUACGUGAGCCGUUUGGCUCUGCAGCGGUGUCUAACCGACCUUAAACUUUCCGCGACCCUAUUUCGGGAUGCUAGGGCUCAGGUCGGGGAGAGAAGGAGCCCAGGUCCCCACUCCACACCUCUCCCUGGCUCUUAAGAUACUCUCUAACUCCUCGGGAGGAUCGCAGUACCCAGCCGACCUUUGCGAACGUUUAACUCGGGGUUGCCCUGUGCAGAAAGCUUAGUCUGCGAGGUGCGCGAACCGGCCAGGGGUUUCCCCCACCAGUGGUGCCUGGGGACACCGUGCGUUUUGCCCUCGCGUGUACCGCGACUUUCCCGGGACCUCAGUUGGGGAAGGGAGAGGCGCCUGGGCAGAGCUGAACUGGGGUAGGGAGGUUCGUGGUAAAGCGGGGCUCGCAGGGACGGCGAGGGCUCUUCGCAAGCAGGGUUUCCUGGUCCUGGAACGGCCGCGAAGUCUGCAGCCGGCGGUGCCUUCCUGGGGUCGCGGGAGAAGGCGAAGGCGAAGCUUGCGACUCGCACCCGAUAAGAUUCCGCCGGCGCCGGCCCCUGCCCGCGGCCUGCUCGCCAGACACCGCGACCUGGGGGGAACACUGGGGUCCUGGGCCCCCCCGCCUGGGAAGCCCAGGCAAGGGUUCCCAAGGAGCUAGAACUCCAAGUCGGAGCAGGGACCCUGAAACGUCCCUGCUGUAAUUCACAGAAAAAAACAAACCGAGGUCAGGGGUGCCAAAUUACCGUCCCUUUUUGAUUAUUUAUACACAAGUAAUAAAGACAAAGACAAACCACCCCGACCUCUGGCCUGGUGAUGCACGCCUGUAAUCCCAGCACUCUGGGAGGCUGAGCCAGGAGGAUCUCCAUGAGUUCCAGGCCAGUCUGGGAUUAGUGAGUCCAUGUCUAGCCUGAAAUACAUAGUAAGACCCUAUAUCAAAAAAAAAAAAAAAAAAUUCACCCCUAGCUGCCUGCCCCCGCCUGUGGUCUUGCCCUGGCCUGUGCCAUCCCAUUCCAUUAGGGUUUGAACACAGGCGACCUGGAAGGUGGGCAAAGCUGUGUAGACCGAGGCCAUCCCGGCAGCAGGUCUGGGCCAGGACUAACUGCGCAGGUGCGAGGCCGAGGAGCACUCAGCCCCCGGACUGGCUCGCUUGGGAAGCCGGGUCUUCAUCAUCCGUGGCCAGUCCCGCCUGGCAUCGCCACCUCGCCUGGGCAGCAGCUGGAGCAUCCUUCGCUCCCCCAAAGCGGGCAUUCGGCUUGGGGAGCAGCUCUGAGGAGGAGGGGCAGGAAUUGCUAAAAGGAAGCAGAAAAGUAGCAAAAAGAGGG
This 1360-nucleotide long non-coding RNA is filed under the name Heterocephalus glaber (naked mole-rat). RNAcentral describes it as "lncRNA (ENSHGLG00100041963.1)". The record is from RNAcentral. Lineage: Eukaryota; Metazoa; Chordata; Mammalia; Rodentia; Bathyergidae.